UCCAGGCUCCGGGCUCGGGCAAGGGGCCCGGCGGGAGGACAGACAGACCCACGGAGGCACCAUCGGCGGCACCCGGCCGGGCCGGCUGGGCGCGGCGCGGGGCGGUCCGGGGGCGCCGGGGCCGGACAGGCAGUGCGCCGCGGGGCAUGGGUGCUCCGGGGGCCCCGGGGCGCAGGCCGGCCUCGGCGCGGCACCCAGGGCUUGGGGGCAGCGGCGGGCAGGGGUCCUGCCUGGCGGCCGCCGCUGACCCCCUCCGGGGCCCGUGACGCCGCGGCCGAUGUGGCCCCGCAAGCUGCGGGCCUGCAUCGCCGCAGCACAAAGAGGCCGCCGGAGCCGCCGCCUACAGCCCGGCCGCAGCAGCAGCGCGAGCCCCAGCCCGAGCCUGAGCCGGAGGGCAGGAGGCGGCGCCCGCGCGCGGCCGGCCCCGGCAUGGACAAGCGGGCGGCCGCGGGGCUGGAGGGGGCGCCGGGCGCCC
Molecule: long non-coding RNA, 475 nt
Filed under: Marmota monax (woodchuck)
Lineage: Eukaryota; Metazoa; Chordata; Mammalia; Rodentia; Sciuridae
Source: RNAcentral